CGGGCCCGCGAGCCGCGGAGGGGCCGCCCCGCGGUCACCGUGCAGCACGGGACGCGGCUGGUCAGCGACGGUUCGAGACCGCCCGGCACCGG
RNAcentral lists this transfer RNA (92 nucleotides) under Roseomonas sp. CECT 9278. RNAcentral describes it as "tRNA-Val". Lineage: Bacteria; Pseudomonadati; Pseudomonadota; Alphaproteobacteria; Acetobacterales; Roseomonadaceae. The record is from RNAcentral.